This is a long non-coding RNA of Triticum dicoccoides, 2885 nucleotides long. RefSeq lists it as uncharacterized. The record is from RefSeq and is a predicted model, not a curated record. The transcript has 7 exons. Lineage: Eukaryota; Viridiplantae; Streptophyta; Magnoliopsida; Poales; Poaceae.
ACCAACAGCAAUACUACUACUACUAGUAAACAGCGAGGAGGAUCUCCAGAGAGAUUAAUCGCUCCCUCCCUCCCUCGCGGCGUUUCUUGGAUUUGGCUCCGGAGGAGGAAUCCGGAGCGCCCCGUCCGCGUCUCUCGAUCGAAUCACCGGCCCCGUCGCUUCCGCGGAGCUCCCCCGAUCCCGUCGCCCGGUGCGGUUCGAAUUCCGGCCGAAUUGGCGUUCUUGGCGAUCGGUUUGGAGGCGGGACUGGAUUCUUGAUUGGCUGGCCGGGUUGUCUGUGGGGAGGCUCCGUCGGCCGGGAAUCGCGCCUUCCUCAUCCGGCCAAGACGAAAAAGAACUGAUGCUGUCGCCAAAUUCGGAGUCUUUUGUGCUGAACUUGCUCAUAUGGUGUUUGCUAAAAUAGAAGAAUCUGCUAAAAGAGGUUGGACGGGGGCUGUACGUGGACAUGAACUCGUUCCAUGGAUUCGGGAGGGAGCAUGUGCCAUGGAACUUUGAGAAGACGGAGAACCAUGUGUACCUCAACGUCGUGCAGUAGCAGAAGCUGGAUCGCCAUGAGCUGGAACGCCCGUUGAAGAAGUCACUCUGCUCACCAUCAGUAUGGCAGACUUGUCGCUCAUUAGAUCAUCAGGAGGGAGGUGCGCUGUCAGGUGCGCUGGCUACGUCUCUAGGGACUGUGUGGCGGGUGUGACCUCUCCCAGCUCCCCGCCUUCGCCCGCGAUGAUGAGGACCAGGUCCGCUGCGCCUCCAGUCCCAGAUCAUGGUCGCGCAGGACAUGCUCCGUGACGCUGUGUGUGUGUCGAUCUGAAGCUAUCCUCUAUUGCAUCUAGAGGCUUGUAGAGGCCAUAGAUCAAAUCCGACAAGAGAAGAAAUAUGUGUGUCUGAGGAACCAAGACGCCAAAGGUUCAGAGCGGCGUUGUGCUGAAAAAGCCAGGACAAUGUAAGAGGCUUGCACACAAGGAUCUAGGUUUCUCUACGAGCAGCAGAAUCAAUAUCCGAUAGAAUAUAACAAUUACGGACGAGGAGCCGCAACCGCAGCUUGUUGAGAUGUUGCAUAGCUUUCAGAGAACUAGGAAAGUAAUGGUGGACUCUCAUGAAGCACAGAGACAGAUAAUGUUUGAGGCAAAUUCCUUCACCGGCCCUGCGUAUGAGAAAUUCUUCAAUGAUGCCCAGCGGCAUGCUACUCUCAAGCUGGAGGUCGAGCUUAGGAACUGGAGGUCCUGCUUCGUGAGCUACGUCAGUGCUCAGAAGGCGUACAUCGAAGCCCUUGAUGGUUGGUUGUCCAAGUUCAUGCUCACGGACACCAUCCGUUAAUCCCGGGGAUCUCCUUGAUCGCGCUCGACAGGACCAGCGAGUAGCACACUAUGCUGUCGACAACCGGAUCCUCCUCACAACUGACUCCGACAUGGUACCCAUUCCAACCCAAGAAGAUGACUCAAGGGAGGACUGAUCUAUAUGUAGGCAGAUGGAUGAAUUCCAAGCCAUGAGAUAAAGUACCCUAAACCGAACUUACUAUUUAUUUGCAGUUUGCGAGUACACUUGUACUUCCCUGAUUUCUGCCCCAAAUAGCAUGCUUCCAAAUCCAUGUGUAGUUCCCUGCCUGCUAUGUUUCCAAUCAGAUAAUUUUGGCCACCAAAAUUUCUGGUUAUUUAGAUCGCACUUUUCUGUGGGACAAUGCAGAAAAGGUGUGUUUUGAUGCUCCCAAUAUAAAGGGUCAGGCUUUUCUCAUAAUGAUUCAGGGAGAUAAAAUUUCUUUUAGAAUGUUUACCACUUUGGCUUGCUUUUGUAAUGAACCAAGAUGAAUGAUGUUUGCAAAACUGAAGCUUCAACUACAAUGCUAGGUUCUUAGAUGUUAUGAAGUUUCAAGUGUUCUACUGCUAUCUAUUUCCUACUCGCUCCAUUUCUUUUGUAAGGCAUAUUUUGAUUUGAUCAGUUAAUGCUUUGAAUAAUAAUUACUCUAUUAAUAGUUGCUGCAUGUGAAUAAGUUGAUAUUGGAUUCAUUUCUUUGGGGAGCUAAGCCAUGUAUUUGCAAUUUUAGUAUUAGUUAGCAUAAAAUAGAGAAAUGUCUGGUAGCUUCGUAGGUAGUUACUCCAUUAGUAGGUGGUGCAUGUGAAUAAGUUAAUAUUGGAUUCAUUUCUUUGGGGAGCUAAGCCAUGUAUUUGCAAUUUCAGUAACAUAGUUAGUGUAAAAUAGAUAAAUUUCUGGUAGCUUUGUAGGCAUUGAAGAAAAAACAAUAAAUCCCUUGCUAAAUAUACCAAGGUGAUGUCCACAUAUAUCCUUGGCUUUGUUUGUAAAGAAGCGAGUAGACAUUCUACUUUUGUGUAAGUUAAAGAUAUGCUUUGAUGUAUUUCUUCAGUGAACAACACCGGAUUUUCGUAUGAGUUGCCUAUUUAUAUUUUGAUAUUUACAUAAUGCAUUCACCAAGUAAAUCAGGAAGUAUGCAUCUAUACUGGAAAGGAAGCGCUCAAAUGUGAUGUGCAUCAAAUACUUAGGUCAAUCGUUGCCUUUUUUUUGUUGCCCUUAGUGUAUUUUAGUUAUGAUUUUGCAUCCCGACGUGUUUGACAAUCUAGGUACAUUAAUUAUGCUCGUGGUCAUGGUAUGUCUGAUUGUAGGUGCUUUAAAAUGACCUAUACUUAGCAUUUUUCCUCCAAAUGACUUAAUAUGCUUAGCUAGCUCUAAAAUGACUUACGAAAUGCCAUAUUUUAGCUCCGAAAUGACUUCAUAUGCUUAGCUAGUUCCAAAAUGACAUAAUAAACUUAUUAGUUCCAAAAUGACCUUACUUAGCAUUUUUUACACCAAAAUGACUUAGUAUGCUUAGUUAGCUUAAAAAUGACAUAAUAACCAUACUUAGCUUCAAAAUGACCUAUUUUACAGAUAUAAGUUGCAUC